GCAAGGAAGGACAGUAGUGUGGCAGAACUAGGGAGGGGAGGACGUGCGCGCGAGCAACAGAGCAACAGUUUCCAGGCGCUGCUGCAGCCUGUAGCGCGUACUGUCUGCCAACUUUCAACCGUCUCACUUUCUGCUAAGUACUGUUGCUUGACCUCCGUGUGAUGAAGUGACCGUGGUGAUGAAAAAUGAAAGUACGAGCGUGAUUUGAUAAUAGGAGAACUAGUCCAUACACUCACUCAGUUGUCGUAAGCUUGGAAACACAAGAACUGGUGUGGUGAAACAGAAAAGUUUAUGCCGCGGUUUGACAUUUCCCGCCCUGAACACUGAACACGCCGGGCAUUAGUAAGGGCGGCCAAAGGUGGGUGUGUGGUGUGUGGCAGCAGCAGUCAGUGACUAGUGCCGGCGGGUGGCGGCGGCGGCGGUGUUGGAGGUGGUGCCUUACAAGGCGUGCAGGAAAGCCAUGACGGCUUUGGUGGCAGCAUGCAGACGGGCGGCAACGGACGGUCUGCCAAGUCUACCUGGGCUGGGCGGGACUAGCACCCUGGCUGCUGCUGGCGGCGUGGACACAAGCGGCCGUCGCAAGAGUCAACGUGAAAUGGAGCCUUGUGUCGCUGCCUGUGUGUCACGUCGUGGCUGGGAGUCACGUGAGGGGUUUAUGGUUGAAUCUCGAGGGAACACGGGCGGGAAUGGAGGGACGUGAUAAAGGAUUCCCACCGUUGCCCCUUCGCCACUCCCAGCCGGCAUAACGAGAGGUAAGAC
Molecule: long non-coding RNA, 759 nt
Organism: Scylla paramamosain (green mud crab)
Lineage: Eukaryota; Metazoa; Arthropoda; Malacostraca; Decapoda; Portunidae
Exons: 4
Source: RefSeq, a predicted model, not a curated record